Molecule: ribosomal RNA, 718 nt
Filed under: Salinicola salarius
Lineage: Bacteria; Pseudomonadati; Pseudomonadota; Gammaproteobacteria; Oceanospirillales; Halomonadaceae
Description: bacterial SSU rRNA
Rfam family: Bacterial small subunit ribosomal RNA
Source: RNAcentral
AGUCGAGCGGCAGCACGGGGAGCUUGCUCCCUGGUGGCGAGCGGCGGACGGGUGAGUAAUGCAUAGGAAUCUGCCCGGUAGUGGGGGAUAACGUGGGGAAACCCACGCUAAUACCGCAUACGUCCUACGGGAGAAAGCGGAGGAUCUUCGGACUUCGCGCUAUCGGAUGAGCCUAUGUCGGAUUAGCUAGUUGGUAAGGUAACGGCUUACCAAGGCAACGAUCCGUAGCUGGUCUGAGAGGAUGAUCAGCCACGCUGGGACUGAGACACGGCCCACACUCCUACGGGAGGCAGCGGUGGGGAAUAUUGGACAAUGGGCGAAAGCCUGAUCCAGCCAUGCCGCGUGUGUGAAGAAGGCUUUCGGGUUGUAAAGCACUUUCAGCGAGGAAGAAAGCCUCUGGGCCAAUACCCCAGAGGAGGGACAUCACUCGCAGAAGAAGCACCGGCUAACUCCGUGCCAGCAGCCGCGGUAAUACGGAGGGUGCGAGCGUUAAUCGGAAUUACUGGGCGUAAAGCGCGCGUAGGUGGCUUGGCACGCCGGUUGUGAAAGCCCCGGGCUCAACCUGGGAACUGCAUCCGGAACGGCCAGGCUAGAGUGCAGGAGAGGAAGGUAGAAUUCCCGGUGUAGCGGUGAAAUGCGUAGAGAUCGGGAGGAAUACCAGUGGCGAGGGCGGCCUUCUGGCCUGACACUGACACUGACGUGCGAAAGCGUGGGUAGC